UUGUAAGCCCCAAGUCUGCCCUGGUGACCAGGUCCCAAGCGAGGCCUGGAAGGAAGGUGGGCCCAGGACUAGCUCACCCGAUGGAAAGGCCCUUACACAACCCUUUUAACCACACCCUGGGCCAGUAAGGUACCAGGAAUUGUUAGUUGGAUUUGCCCCUCCAGGGUAAAACCCAAGCUGCCUGAGACACCAGAAAAUGAAAAAGAGAGAACACAAACCUUGAACACCUGUGAGCCAUGGAACGACCUCAAGUUUCCUUUCAGAAAAGAAAACACCAACCAACCUGUUCAGCCACAUAGCUACCUAGGAAAUUGGCAGACAGCCUAGACAAACUUACCAGGGUAUUGUCAUCCAUCAAGAUCAAACCGAUUCGCUAGCAGCUGUGGCCAUAUAAUAUGUAGAGCUCUAGAUCUCCUAACCCUCUAAACAGAGGAGUUAUGUUUGUCUCUGAAAGAAGAAUGUGGUUCCUAUGUCAGUCCAUCUGAAACAGUGAGAGAUGUAACACAGGAGCUGGCUGACCAUGCUUCUAAGAUCUGUGAAGAACUGAGUCAUGGAUGUCCUGGCCAAGUAUCUGGAAUUGGGAUUUUGGUUACUGUCCUAGAUAGACAUGGUUAUUAUUAAUGCUUCUUAUAACCUUACUCUUACAUACUUGAGAUCUUACAUACUUAAUCUCUUAGUCAAAUUUGUUCUUGUUUACCAGCCAUUAAACUACUGGUGAUGGCCCAAGCCCAAGAUCAAAACCUGGCUCCAUGUCCACAGCUCAUCAGAAUAUCCUGGGAGGAGAAACACGUCUCUCUUGAACUCUUAUAUCAGAAGGGGGAGAGUUCCUUCACCCCCCGAGGUAGGGCCAGUGUCCCUACUGAGCAGGAAGCAUCCAUGGAAGACAGACCUUCCUCCUUCAGCACCCCUUGAAGAUUUUUGGGGACCAGGACUCUCAGAGGGUAAUAGUGCAAGAAGCACAAGGGGGCUGGGAGACCACUUGCCUCUACCCCAUUGAGUUUGGGCAAGACCCAGGGCAAAUGCUCCUCCCUUGUUCCAAGUCACCUGGCAGGGUAAGCCCUGGAAAGCACACUUGUAGGAAGCCCCAACUCAGGAUGACUCAGCCCUCUCUUAGUCAUUCCUGUCAAUCCUACCUAGAAACCAGUGAGAGGUACCUGGGCUGGGGCUCCUCCUUAAAAAAAAUUCGAAAGCCUGAUUUUAUCUCCGUGUGUGCUGUCUACUUCUCUGUCAUCCCAGCACCAUUUUUCUGUUUGUGCCACGAUUUUCUUGGCACAGAGCUGUCCUGAGCAAGGUUUCCCUUUAUCUUCAACAAAUGCAAAUGCUUUUCUUUUAUCACUGGAUGUACACUUGCAGUUUUUUGCUCAUCCUACACAAGACCCUGGAAUCUGUUUGUUGGAUCCAGCCCACGACAUCAACUGCAGGUGUGCAUGUGCUUGGAGGUCAGGAGCCUCCUGCAGAGCAUAAGUUAGCAGUCUCACUGCAGGGCUUCCAGUAUGCAAAGCAGCAUGCAAGGGAGAGGAUGAGCAAGUGGCACCAGGGCAAGGAGAAACGGCCUGGCUUCAGGUUCAAUGGGAGUGGGCGGCCCGCAGAUCCAGUCCCAGCACUCGGUGGGGUUGGUGAAGUGCUCGGCCUGGGCCGGCGCUGAAACCCAGCACAGGAGGCUGAGAAAUACUUAAGCUCCAACGUUGCUCACCUAGUGGAUCAGUGUGUAAGGAUGUGCUAACAAAAUACCAGUCUAAGUGGUUUAAACAGUAGAAAUUGGUUUUCUCUCAAUUCUGGAGGCCAGAAGCCCAAGGUCAAGGCAUUGGCAAGCCUGGGUUCUUCUGGGGCAGCUUUUUGGAUAGCAAACAACUGCCACCUCCCUGUAUCCUCACAAUCAGCCCUCCAGUCUGUGGUACCUGUUCCCUGCUCUUUUCUUUUGAAGACGCUAGGACACUCGAGUAGGUCCACCCAUAGCACCUGGUCUACCACGACUGUAUCUCAGAGGCCUGACCUCCAAAUGUAG
RNAcentral lists this long non-coding RNA (2005 nucleotides) under Heterocephalus glaber (naked mole-rat). RNAcentral's name for it is "lncRNA (ENSHGLG00100050835.1)". The record is from RNAcentral. Lineage: Eukaryota; Metazoa; Chordata; Mammalia; Rodentia; Bathyergidae.